GCACAACGCGAAGAACCUUACCAGGCCUUGACAUGCAGAGAACUUUCCAGAGAUGGAUAGGUGCCUUCGGGAACUCUGACACAGGUGCUGCAUGGCUGUCGUCAGCUCGCGUCGUGAGAUGUUGGGUUAAGUCCCGUAACGAGCGCAACCCUUGUCCUUAGUUACCAGCACGUUAAGGUGGGCACUCUAAGGAGACUGCCGGUGACAAACCGGAGGAAGGUGGGGAUGACGUCAAGUCAUCAUGGCCCUUACGGCCUGGGCUACACACGUGCUACAAUGGUCGGUACAGAGGGUUGCCAAGCCGCGAGGUGGAGCUAAUCUCACAAAACCGAUCGUAGUCCGGAUCGCAGUCUGCAACUCGACUGCGUGAAGUCGGAAUCGCUAGUAAUCGCGAAUCAGAAUGUCACGGUGAAUACGUUCCCGGGUCUUGUACACACCG
Molecule: ribosomal RNA, 439 nt
Filed under: uncultured bacterium
Lineage: Bacteria
Description: bacterial SSU rRNA
Rfam family: Bacterial small subunit ribosomal RNA
Source: RNAcentral